GAUUCAGUCACCUGGCCGGAAUUAGUCAAUGGCCCCAGCUGAACUUGAGGGAACGCUAGGAGCGGCUCGUGGACUGCGAAGCCAGCCCUGUGUUUACCCAGGGUGCGCGGCGUGUCCCAACAAAUCCGCAGGCUCAACUCCACGGGCUUUCUCUGGCCACACGGAGGAGUUUCCAAGGCAUCUGAACUUGACCGGGCCUUCACGUGUUGCGCCCAGCCACCGACUCGCGCUUCCUGCCGGGGCCGAGGCCAGUGGAGUCGAGGGUCCGCGCGCUUUAGGUUUUAGUGCCCCGAGCUAGAAACCAGGUCAGCCCAAGCACCUCUCCGAUCCGCUCGCCGCACAUCCGAUCCGUCUCUCAAAUUGGUCCGCAACCCAGAGCUCUCCUGCAUCCCGGCUGCAAGGUCCUCGGGCACAUCUCCUGUGGCAACUUCGGCAUCACCCGUCUGCUCCCUGGUCUUGCCUCCGAGCUGCAUUUGUACUGUGACACCAUCCACCUAAACGCACGCGUCUGAACCUGUCCCUCUUCCUUUUAGAAAUGUUCAGCAGUGCUCAGGCUCCGCCCCACCUCGGCAUGCUUCAUACAAGGGAAGAAUAGCCCAGAAACUGUUUACAGGUAUUUUAUAUCUCGCUCCUUGUUCACUGCCUUGGGGGGUGUUUUAUGUUUCAGAUCCGCACAGAUCACUUAAAAUUCCAAAUACACGUAUAUGGGGGGCAGCCAGCCUGCUCAAGUCUUUUCCCCACGGCGGGGCACAGUCUGAAAAUUGAUCACCGCCUCAGGCUGCAGACAGACUCUGCUUUGCCCAAAGCCAUCCAGUGAUGGAGCCAGGUGUCAAACUUCCAGACUGUCCGACUCCAAAAUCAGCACAUCCUCCCGGCUACCAGGCUUUCCUGGAAAAGGCAGAAAAGUCCGGAACAAAGUGAACUGUUAGUGGGUGCAGAGAACACCCACUGUGAAUGGAGGGACCCCAGCCGUGAGGAGGGGUCAGGGCUCAGCCUCGGCCCCUCCCUGACCUCCCCGUGGAGGACGGAGGGGAAACGGACUGGACUGUUUCUCAGAUCAGGACAGUUUGCUUUGCUUUGUUUUUCCUUUUUCAAGUGUAUUUAUUUAUUUUGAGAGAGACAGAGACAGUGCAAAUGGGGAAGGGGCAGAGAGAGAGAGAGAGAGAAAGAGAAUCCCAAGCAGGCUCCAUGCGCCCAGUGCAGAGCCCGACGUGGGGCUCGAACCCACAGAACUGCAACAUCAUGAACUGAGCUGAAAUCAAGAGUCGGAUGCUUAACCGACUGGGCUACCCAAACGGCCCCAGGACAGUUUUAUUUUCAAGUGAGCCCAUCUGUUUCUCCCAGGGAAAGAAUCUUAAAAAGUUAUAAUCAUAAAAUCCAUGAAGCUGUGUGUUACCAUCUACUAUUCUUUGUGGAAAGAAUAAAGCUAUACAAAAUUUGGCCCUCCCGGAAAAU
This 1455-nucleotide long non-coding RNA is filed under the name Felis catus (domestic cat). RNAcentral's name for it is "lncRNA (ENSFCAG00000048590.1)". Lineage: Eukaryota; Metazoa; Chordata; Mammalia; Carnivora; Felidae. The record is from RNAcentral.